RNAcentral lists this ribosomal RNA (429 nucleotides) under uncultured archaeon. RNAcentral's name for it is "bacterial SSU rRNA". It matches the Rfam family "Archaeal small subunit ribosomal RNA", at positions 474 to 903 of the family's 1478-position model. The record is from RNAcentral.
AACCAGCUCUUCAAGUGGUCGGGAAUAUUAUUGGGCUUAAAGUGUCCGUAGCCGGUUUGGCAAGUUCCUGGUUAAAUCUGGCAGCUUAACUGUCAGUUGGCUAGGAAUACUGCCUUACUAGAGGGUGGGAAAGGUCUGAGGUACUCCAGGGGUAGCGGUGAAAUGCUAUAAUCCUUGGGGGACCACCAGUGGCGAAGGCGUCAGACUGGAACACGCCUGACGGUGAGGGACGAAAGCCAGGGGAGCGAACGGGAUUAGAUACCCCGGUAGUCCUGGCUGUAAACGAUGCGUGCUAGGUGUUGGUGGGGCUAUGAGCCGCAUCAGUGCCGUAGGGAAACUGUUAAGCGCGCCGCCUGGGAAGUACGCUCGCAAGGGUGAAACUUAAAGGAAUUGGCGGGGGAGCACCACAAGGGGUGAAGCCUGCGGUUC